GAUGAAGAACGUAGCGAAAUGCGAUAAGUAAUGUGAAUUGCAGAAUUCAGUGAAUCAUCGAAUCUUUGAACGCACCUUGCGCUCCUUGGUAUUCCGAGGAGCAUGCCUGUUUGAGUGUCAUUAAUAUAUCAACCUCUUCAGCUUAUGCUUGUUGAGUGUUGGAUGGUGGGGGUUUGCUAGUGUCUUAUGAAGUCAGCUCCUCUGAAAUGCAUUAGCGGAACAAUUUGUUGACCGUUCAUUGGUGUGAUAAAAAUAUCUACGCUAUUGACGUCAGUCAGUUCAGCUUCUAACAGUCCAUUGACUUGGACAAAUUUUUCAUUAAUGUGACCUCAAAUCAGGUAGGACUACCCGCUGAACUUAAGCAUAUCAAUAAGCGGAGGA
This 381-nucleotide unclassified non-coding RNA is filed under the name soil metagenome. RNAcentral's name for it is "partial contains 5.8S ribosomal RNA, internal transcribed spacer 2, and large subunit ribosomal RNA". The stretch from base 1 to 120 matches the Rfam family "5.8S ribosomal RNA", at positions 35 to 154 of the family's 154-position model. The record is from RNAcentral.